RNAcentral lists this long non-coding RNA (544 nucleotides) under Homo sapiens (human). RNAcentral's name for it is "non-protein coding lnc-GSTM3-4:1". The record is from RNAcentral. Lineage: Eukaryota; Metazoa; Chordata; Mammalia; Primates; Hominidae.
AGAGAAGCUGCUGUCCUUCCACCACCAGCACCGGACCACCUGCUCCAAGACCAGCCUCCUGGGGGGACCAGGCACCCGGCCUUCACUGGCACCCAGGGAGCCGUCCUCAGCAGCGUCAACAUGUCAAGGCCCAGCAGCAGAGCCAUUUACUUGCACCGGAAGGAGUACUCCCAGAACCUCACCUCAGAGCCCACCCUCCUGCAGCACAGGGUGGAGCACGCCUGUGGUCCACCUCUCUGAGCUUUCUCCCAGUCCUAGGACUCCCCCUCUCCCUGCAGCACUUGAUGACAUGCAAGCAGGGGAGUCAGAGAGUCCAGGGGCCCGAGGAUGCCUUGCAGAAGCUGUUCGAGAUGGAUGCACAGGGCCGGGUGUGGAGCCAAGACUUGAUCCUGCAGGUCAGGGACGGCUGGCUGCAGCUGCUGGACAUUGAGACCAAGGAGGAGCUGGACUCUUACCGCCUAGACAGCAUCCAGGCCAUGAAUGUGGCGCUCAACACAUGUUCCUACAACUCCAUCCUGUCCAUCACCGUGCAGGAGCCGGGCCU